Hydra vulgaris (swiftwater hydra) is the source of this 732-nucleotide non-coding RNA. The record is from RefSeq and is a predicted model, not a curated record. Lineage: Eukaryota; Metazoa; Cnidaria; Hydrozoa; Anthoathecata; Hydridae.
AUAAAGUUUUGCUAAUGCUCGCAAGCAAUUGCUUUUGUGUCGGAGUAAAAGCUAUAUGCCGUUGCGGAUAUAAGUAGCUUUUUUAACUUUUAAUAUUUAAAAAUGGCUUCUUCAAACCAGAUUUCAAUUGAAUCAAGUGAAAAUAAUAUAGCUAGCCAAAGUUUUAACAAAUGUGAAGGUAAAGUUUUUAUAAACAUACUGUGCGAAUAGCCAAUACUUCUACAAAAAAGCCAAGUUCCAAACGUUAAAAUAAAGAAAAACAAAGCAUUUUUAAAAAUGCAAGACCAAAUGUUCCAAGCAACAGGAACAAAAAUUGAUACAUAAACAUUGGCGAAAAAGAUUGCCAACAUAAAGACAAGGUUAAAAAAAAAGUCUGACAUCCAUCGAACUGGAAACAAGCCUAUAAAACUUUCAGCGAGUGAAGUCAAACUUGCUAAUCUUUUAGAUACAGAAAAGAAUCCUACCUUCACACAAAUUGAUGGGAACACAUCUUCUCAAGCAUCGAGGUCAAUUCCAAAAAGAUUAAAACUACCUGGUGAAACUAAAGAAACAACAAAAUGGACGAAUACAGAGCUUCAGCGUGUGGUCAUGCUGGAGCAGCUAAAAUAAUAUUGGUUAAAAAAUUUAAAGUUGAAAUAUACUACACCCCAACAUGUAUUAAAUGAAGAGGAGAUAGAUAUUGUUGUUGAUAUAAACGUUGAUGGAAACAAAACAUAAAAACGUGAAAAUAAA